Non-coding RNA from Austrofundulus limnaeus, 72 nucleotides. The record is from the annotation of a RefSeq genome assembly. Lineage: Eukaryota; Metazoa; Chordata; Actinopteri; Cyprinodontiformes; Rivulidae.
GGGGGCGUAGCUCAGUGGCAGAGCAUUUGACUGCAGAUCAACAGGUCCUCAGUUCAAUUCUGGGCACCCCCU